RNAcentral lists this ribosomal RNA (447 nucleotides) under uncultured bacterium. RNAcentral describes it as "bacterial SSU rRNA". It matches the Rfam family "Bacterial small subunit ribosomal RNA", at positions 328 to 792 of the family's 1533-position model. The record is from RNAcentral.
AUGCCAGACUCCUACGGGAGGCAGCAGUGGGGAAUAUUGCACAAUGGGGGAAACCCUGAUGCAGCGACGCCGCGUGAGCGAAGAAGUCUUUCGGUAUGUAAAGCUCUAUCAGCAGGGAAGAAAAUGACGGUACCUGACUAAGAAGCCCCGGCUAAAUACGUGCCAGCAGCCGCGGUAAUACGUAUGGGGCAAGCGUUAUCCGGAUUUACUGGGUGUAAAGGGAGCGCAGGCGGCUUGGCAAGUCUGAUGUGAAAGGCUGGGGCUCAACCCCAGGACUGCAUUGGAAACUGUUAGGCUGGAGUGUCGGGGAGGUAAGCGGAAUUCCUAGUGUAGCGGUGAAAUGCGUAGAUAUUAGGAGGAACACCAGUGGCGAAGGCGGCCUGCUGGACGAUGACUGACGUUGAGGCUCGAAAGCGUGGGGAGCAAACAGGAUUAGAUACCCGAGUA